UAUUCUUUUCUUGAUUCUCAUUUGCCAUACUCAUAGAAGAGGAAAGAAAAUGGUUUUAUAAAUUAAUUUUGUUUUCUUUAAUAUUUCAACCAAAAAAAAUUCAGUCUCUCCCUUCACUCAAUGGCAUUGACACCACCUCCCCCACCACCACCACCACCUUCACCCUUUUGAAGCAUCUUAGAGAGGGUUUUGUGCUUGUCCUGUUCUUGUUCUGUUUUUGUUCUGGAAAGAUAAGUUGUUCUUUUUUUUAGUGGCUUCUUUUUGUUGUUAAUGUUAUCUUCUUGAGUGAAGGUAGCUUAGUUUCAUGGUAAGAAAAACGGGCUGUUUUCAGAUUUGGAAACUGUUGUUUGUUAUGCUAAGAUUCAAGCAGGAUUUCAUCUAGCUCUCUGUUCUUGCUCUGUUUUCCCUGUUUCAGUAGAAUUCACAUGGAUUUGCUUGGUUCUGUCUCUUGUUACUUCUGUUCAGCUUCUUUAUUUGUGAGUCUUUGAUCUGAUUUGGAAGAAAAUAAAUAAGCCUUUCAGAAAGCAACUGAGCUGCCUUUCUUCUUAGAAACUUAAUCAAGAAACAGGGGAUUCAAUGGAGUCAGAUCUUCAACACCAGCAUCAUUUUCUUCAUGGUCAUAACCAGCACCAACAAAUUCAUCAGAAACAAAUGAAUUCUGGGUUGACAAGAUAUCAGUCUGCACCAAGUUCAUAUUUUUCAAGUAAUUUAGACAGAGACUUCUGUGAAGAGUUUCUCAAUAGGCCAACAAGCCCUGAAACAGAACGAAUUUUCGCGAGAUUUUUAGCCAAUUCCGGUGGCAAUACAGAGAAUAUACCAGGUUCAAAUCUUUGUGAGAUUAAGCAAGAUUCUCCAGUAAAAGAAUCAGUCUCACAAAUUAACCAGCAACCCCAGAUGAUGGCUUCAAUGAAUAAUCAUAGUAGUGAUACAAGGCUGCAUCAACAUCAACAUCAGCAGCACCAACAUGGCAAUUACUCUGCCUCACAGGGUUUUUAUCAAAGUCGAUCAAAACCUCCAUUACCAGAUCAUAAUCCAGGUUCUGGUAUGAAUCAUAGAUCAACGAAUUCAACGGGGUUGGAGAGGAUGCCUUCCAUGAAGCCUAGCAGUGGAAACAAUCCGAAUCUAGUUCGACACAGUAGCUCACCAGCAGGGCUUUUCUCCAACAUAAAUAUUGAAUUUGAAAAUGGCUAUGCUGUAUUGAGAGAUGUGGGAGAUCUUGGAGCAGGUAAUAGAGACACAACUUAUUCUGCAGCUGGUAGGCCACCUUCAUCUUCAGGGAUAAGGAGUACAAUUGCUGAAAUGGGAAACAAAAACAUGGGAGAAAAUAGCCCAGACAGUGGUGGUUUUGGUGAAACUCCUGGCAAUAAUUAUGAUUACCCUAUUGGAUCAUGGGAUGAUUCGGCUGUGAUGUCUACUGGGUCAAAAAGAUACCUUACAGAUGAUGACAGAACACUUUCUGGUCUAAAUUCAUCGGAAACUCAGCAGAAUGAAGAGGCAGGAAAUCGCCCUCCAAUGUUGGCUCAUCACUUGAGCUUGCCAAAAACAUCAGCAGAGAUGUCUACCAUUGAAAACUUUUUGCAAUUUCAAGAUUCUGUUCCUUGUAAGAUCAGAGCCAAGCGUGGUUGUGCCACCCAUCCAAGAAGCAUUGCUGAGAGGGUGAGAAGAACUAGAAUUAGUGAACGAAUGAGGAAACUCCAGGACCUUGUACCAAACAUGGACAAGCAAACAAACACAUCAGACAUGCUGGAUUUGGCUGUUGACUACAUUAAAGACCUUCAAAGACAAUUCAAGGCACUUUCAGAGAAUCGUGCAAGAUGUACAUGCUUAAAGAAGCAGCAGCCCUAGCUGAAAAAACCAAAAUGCUGGAUUUGGCUGUUGACUAUCAAGACAAGCUAUGGCAUGUUAUGAAGAAAGUUGAUCCGAGUAGCCUUCUCUGUGCUCAAGCUGCUGAGACUGGAAACUAUUCGAUCUUCAGCAGUCUGGGAUAAGAGGAGGUUAACCAGUCAGAGCGUCCUCAACCUUGCAAUGUCCUCAACCAAAAUUGAUGAUUCUUAUGUGCCAAUAUUACUAAUGGCAAGCAAUGCUGAGCUGAGGCAUGGAAUUCGUACUGCUGAAACGGGGAACAGAAACAUGGGAGAAUGGUGGUUCUCGUGAAGCUGUAGCAAUGAUCAUUUUGCUGGUUUGUCUACUGGAUAGUGGAAGCUUUAUGCGAUGUCUGCUGGUGCCAGUCAAUGAUCAUCGCAAACUAAGCAAACAGUGCAAUACGUAGCAGACUUGCUGGAUUUUGCUGUUGAUUACUUAUUUUACCUUACAAGAGAAGUUGAGCAGAAUAUUGAUCCCAGAACCCUGCUUUGUGUUCAAGCUGCUGAGACUAGAAAUCCCUAUGUCUUCAUCUAUUGAUCCCAGAACCCUGCUUUGUGUUCAAGCUGCUGAGACUAGAAAUCCCUAUGUCUUCAUCUGGCCAGCAUAAAAGGAUCUCAGACAGAGUGAUGGUCAUUGCCAAUCUUAACCAGACUUCUCGGUGCUGUUGUUAUGUUUGCUAGAUUUGGAGAGAGAUGAAUUCAAGACAUCACAUUCUGAUAUUAUUCUAUAGAUCCCACAACUCGAGCCCUACCUGAUUUUCUAACCCUUUUUAUUUUAUUUUAUGGAGCUCCAUUUAUCAUCAAUAUUACUAAUAUGACAAGUCUAUUUUUAUUUUAUAGUUCAUAAAGUAUUGUUAUAAUUUUAUACAUGGAUAUGAACUUUAGACUCUAUUUCAUGGUUC
Populus trichocarpa (black cottonwood) is the source of this 2764-nucleotide RNA transcript. It is a transcript of the gene named transcription factor bHLH122, with no coding region annotated. The transcript is spliced from 9 exons. NCBI's taxonomy places the organism in Eukaryota, Viridiplantae, Streptophyta, Magnoliopsida, Malpighiales, Salicaceae. The record is from RefSeq and is a predicted model, not a curated record.